CUUUGGCGGACGGAGAGCUCGGUGGGCUUGAAGGUAGGCAGGCCCUUUGGCUCCUUCAUGAAAUUAUAAUUAAGAGUUUUUUGUUCGAAGUUGUUCUCAAGCAAAAUUACU
Molecule: non-coding RNA, 111 nt
Organism: Caenorhabditis elegans
Lineage: Eukaryota; Metazoa; Nematoda; Chromadorea; Rhabditida; Rhabditidae
Source: Ensembl